This 272-nucleotide long non-coding RNA is filed under the name Sorghum bicolor (sorghum). RNAcentral's name for it is "long non-coding RNA (SBIC_LNC010306)". Lineage: Eukaryota; Viridiplantae; Streptophyta; Magnoliopsida; Poales; Poaceae. The record is from RNAcentral.
UUGGUUGGGCAUACCUUGCGCUUGUCAUUCAUCCGGUCUUCUUGCUCCAAUCCUAGAAAGGUUAGUGACAAGAAUACCCGAAGGAAUAUUUCUACAAUUAUCUUAUAUGCUCAAUACACAAGGUAAUGUUGCAAGUAAUUAGAAGUUCAUGUUACGAUCUGAUAAGUGCUUGUUUUAGGACACUAAGCUUGUCCUUGGGAAACCAUCAAUUAACUCGACGAGAUCUGCAAUAUUUAUUAUAGACAUAUGCAUCGACCACCGCUCUUUUAAAG